UGGGGAAUAUUGGACAAUGGGCGAAAGCCUGAUCCAGCCAUGCCGCGUGUGUGAAGAAGGUCUUCGGAUUGUAAAGCACUUUAAGUUGGGAGGAAGGGCAUUAACCUAAUACGUUAGUGUUUUGACGUUACCGACAGAAUAAGCACCGGCUAACUCUGUGCCAGCAGCCGCGGUAAUACAGAGGGUGCAAGCGUUAAUCGGAAUUACUGGGCGUAAAGCGCGCGUAGGUGGUUUGUUAAGUUGGAUGUGAAAGCGCCGGGCUCAACCUGGGAACUGCAUCCAAAACUGGCAAGCUAGAGUACGGUAGAGGGUGGUGGAAUUUCCUGUGUAGCGGUGAAAUGCGUAGAUAUAGGAAGGAACACCAGUGGCGAAGGCGACCACCUGGACUGAUACUGACACUGAGGUGCGAAAGCGUGGGGAGCAAACA
This 427-nucleotide ribosomal RNA is filed under the name uncultured bacterium. RNAcentral's name for it is "partial 16S ribosomal RNA". It matches the Rfam family "Bacterial small subunit ribosomal RNA", at positions 355 to 774 of the family's 1533-position model. The record is from RNAcentral.